CGAAGGGUCAAACCUUCCGUGGGUUCGAAUCCCACUCUCUCCG
This 43-nucleotide transfer RNA is filed under the name Luteimonas sp. J16. RNAcentral describes it as "tRNA-Ser". Lineage: Bacteria; Pseudomonadati; Pseudomonadota; Gammaproteobacteria; Lysobacterales; Lysobacteraceae. The record is from RNAcentral.